Molecule: ribosomal RNA, 301 nt
Filed under: uncultured bacterium
Lineage: Bacteria
Description: partial 16S ribosomal RNA
Rfam family: Bacterial small subunit ribosomal RNA
Source: RNAcentral
CAGCAGCCGCGGUAAUACAGAUGGUGCAAGCGUUAAUCUGAAUUACUGGGCGUAAAGCGCGCGUAGGUGGUUUGUUAAGUUGGAUGUGAAAUCCCCGGGCUCAACCUGGGAACUGCAUCCAAAACUGGCAAGCUAGAGUAUGGUAGAGGGUGGUGGAAUUUCCUGUGUAGCGGUGAAAUGCGUAGAUAUAGGAAGGAACACCAGUGGCGAAGGCGACCACCUGGACUGAUACUGACACUGAGGUGCGAAAGCGUGGGGAGCAAACAGGAUUAGAUACCCCGGUAGUCCCUGUCUCUUAUAC